UAGGGAAUCUUCCACAAUGGGCGAAAGCCUGAUGGAGCAACGCCGCGUGAGCGAGGAAGGUCUUCGGAUCAUAAAGCUCUGUUGUAAGGGAAGAACAAGUGCAGUAGUAACUACCUGCACCCUGACGGUACCUUACUAGAAAGCCACGGCUAACUACGUGCCAGCAGCCGCGGUAAUACGUAGGUGGCAAGCGUUGUCCGGAAUUAUUGGGCGUAAAGCGCGCGCAGGCGGUUUCUUAAGUCUGAUGUGAAAGCCCCCGGCUUAAACGGGGAGGGUCAUUGGAAACUGGGAGACUUGAGUGCAGGAGAGGGAAGCGGAAUUCCAUGUGUAGCGGUGAAAUGCGUAGAGAUAUGGAGGAACACCAGUGGCGAAGGCGGCUUCCUGGCCUGUAACUGACGCUGAGGCGCGAAAGCGUGGGGAGCAAACAG
This 428-nucleotide ribosomal RNA is filed under the name uncultured bacterium. RNAcentral describes it as "bacterial SSU rRNA". It matches the Rfam family "Bacterial small subunit ribosomal RNA", at positions 355 to 775 of the family's 1533-position model. The record is from RNAcentral.